AACUAACGCAUUUUUUGUUACAGUUUCUGUACUAUAUUGGUAUGAGAAACUUCCAGAACUUUCAUAGUUCUAGGGAAAUUUUGGAACAAAAGCCUUCGGGCUG
This 103-nucleotide unclassified non-coding RNA is filed under the name Trypanosomatidae sp. 105SI. Its description in RNAcentral is "trans-spliced leader sequence". RNAcentral also lists the same sequence under 3 other names. The record is from RNAcentral. Lineage: Eukaryota; Euglenozoa; Kinetoplastea; Trypanosomatida; Trypanosomatidae.